RNAcentral lists this ribosomal RNA (253 nucleotides) under uncultured bacterium. RNAcentral describes it as "partial 16S ribosomal RNA". It matches the Rfam family "Bacterial small subunit ribosomal RNA", at positions 524 to 776 of the family's 1533-position model. The record is from RNAcentral.
UACGGAGGGUGCGAGCGUUGUUCGGAAUUACUGGGCGUAAAGGGCGUGUAGGCGGGUAUAUAAGUCAGAUGUGAAAUACCUUAGCUUAACUAAGGAAGUGCAUCUGAAACUGUAUAUCUUGAGUACGAUAGAGGAGAGUGGAAUUCCCAGUGUAGAGGUGAAAUUCAUAGAUAUUGGGAAGAACACCGGUGGCGAAGGCGGCUCUCUGGAUCGAUAUUGACGCUGAUACGCGAAAGCGUGGGGAGCAAACAGG